Molecule: long non-coding RNA, 1138 nt
Organism: Oncorhynchus tshawytscha (Chinook salmon)
Lineage: Eukaryota; Metazoa; Chordata; Actinopteri; Salmoniformes; Salmonidae
Source: Ensembl
CUUUCCUUCUUUCUUUCUUUCUUUCUUUCUUUCUUUCUUUCUAUCCUUCUUUCUUUCUUUCUAUCUUUUUCUCUCUCUCUCUCUCCCUCUCUCUCUCUCUCUCUUUACCUCCUCCUCUUUUAUUGGCACGACUGCUUGUUUUGAAAAGCUGCAUAAACUCCGGCAUAUUUUCCAUGACUUCAGCCCUGCUCAGAAACCUGCUGAACCCGUCUGUCCUAGUGACUGUGUCUGGAGUCUGGAGUAGGAAGGAUGUCCUAGCGACUGGGUCUGGAGUCUGGAGUAGGGAGGAUGGCCUAGCGACUGGGUCUGGAGGCUGGUAGGAAGGCUGGCCUAGCGACUGUGUCUGGAGUCUGGAGUAGGAAGGAUGUCCUAGCGACUGGGUCUGGAGUCUGGAGUAGGGAGGCUGGCCUAGCGACUGGGUCUGGAGGCUGGUAGGGAGGAUGGCCUAGCGACUGUGUCUGGAGGCUGGUAGGGAGGAUGGCCUAGCGACUGUGUCUGGAGGCUGGUAGGGAGGAUGUCCUAGCGACUGGGUCUGGAGGCUGGUAGGGAGGAUGGCCUAGCGACUAACCCGGCCCUGGUCUGGAGCAGGGAUGGAGAGGGAGAGAAAGGGGCACAGAGCAGCCCCAUAAAGACUCAUCCCUGGGAAAAUGAACAUGGAGGAAAGGAGGGUGGGGUAAGCAGCACAGUGUGACAUGUUUACGUUAGCUAGCAUCGUCAUUGUGGAAGGAGAUCUCUAGUGUAUGCAGCCUGGGAAACUGGAGAGGACUGGAUGGGAGGAGCUACAGUAACAUAAACACCUGUUCACUGACAGUCACACACCUAUACACCUCAGUGAGGGAACACACGUGUUUUGUAGAAAGUAAUAACAUGUUUACUCUCUGAUUUGAUUCAAUGCUCUACUGUUUUCAUUCACUUGUCUUAAAGGAUGUAUAUUCAUAGUAGCUAUUGACUCACAGUUUGUAUGUUCUGUUCAUUUGUGUGUUUGGGUCCAGACAGAGCUUUGCUAUGGGCUUGAAGUCACUUUCAGUUCUCUAUCUGGUCAUCCAGUUUUUCGCCCCAGCAGGGAACCCGACAUUCAGCCAACCACACCCCCCUCACCCCUCCUCUCCUCUGUUAGUCUCAGUAUUGGAGCUAAUAG